RNAcentral lists this ribosomal RNA (513 nucleotides) under uncultured bacterium. RNAcentral describes it as "bacterial SSU rRNA". It matches the Rfam family "Bacterial small subunit ribosomal RNA", at positions 17 to 518 of the family's 1533-position model. The record is from RNAcentral.
GAUUGGCUCAGGAUGAACGCUAGCUACAGGCUUAACACAUGCAAGUCGAGGGGCAGCAUGACGAUAGCUUGCUAUUGUUGAUGGCGACCGGCGCACGGGUGAGUAACGCGUAUCCAACCUUCCCUAUAGUAGAGAAUAGCCCGGCGAAAGUCGGAUUAAUGCUCUAUGUUUUCCAAUGCAGACAUCUAAAAUGGAACAAAGGCUUGCCGCUAUAGGAUGGGGAUGCGUCUGAUUAGAUAGUAGGCGGGGUAACGGCCCACCUAGUCUUCGAUCAGUAGGGGUUCUGAGAGGAAGGUCCCCCACAUUGGAACUGAGACACGGUCCAAACUCCUACGGGAGGCAGCAGUGAGGAAUAUUGGUCAAUGGGCGAGAGCCUGAACCAGCCCAAGUAGCGUGCAGGAUGACGGCCCUAUGGGUUGUAAACUGCUUUUAUACGGGGAUAAAGUGGGGGACGUGUCCCUUUUUGUAGGUACCGUAUGAAUAAGGACCGGCUAAUUCCGUGCCAGCAGCGGC